This 440-nucleotide ribosomal RNA is filed under the name uncultured bacterium. RNAcentral's name for it is "partial 16S ribosomal RNA". It matches the Rfam family "Bacterial small subunit ribosomal RNA", at positions 338 to 795 of the family's 1533-position model. The record is from RNAcentral.
CCUACGGGAGGCAGCAGUGGGGGAUAUUGCACAAUGGGGGGAACCCUGAUGCAGCGACGCCGCGUGGGUGAAGAAGCGCCUCGGCGCGUAAAGCCCUGUCAGCAGGGAAGAAAGUGACGGUACCUGAAGACUACGCCCCGGCUAACUCCGUUCCAGACGCCGCGGUCAUACGGAGGGGGCAAGCGUUAGCCGGAUUGACUGGGGGGAGGGGGGGCGCAGACGGCGAUGCAAGCCAGGAGUGAAAGCCCGGGGCCCAACCCCGGGACUGCACUUGGAACUGCGUGGCUGGAGUGCAGGAGGGGCAGGGGGAAUUCCUGGUGUAGCGGUGAAAUGCGUAGAUAUCAGGAGGAACACCGGUGGCGAAGGCGGCCUGCUGGACUGCAACUGACGUUGAGGCCCGAAAGCGUGGGGAGCAAACGGGAUUAGAUACCCUUGUAGUC